RNAcentral lists this long non-coding RNA (293 nucleotides) under Manihot esculenta (cassava). RNAcentral's name for it is "long non-coding RNA (MESC_LNC008063)". The record is from RNAcentral. Lineage: Eukaryota; Viridiplantae; Streptophyta; Magnoliopsida; Malpighiales; Euphorbiaceae.
GAGAUGAUCCCUUUGAGUAUCUCAGUGCAGUUAGAAUGAUAACAAGUGAGUUGGGAGCAGAUGACGGUAGAGCCAUUGAGAUGGCAGGGUUCACUUUAAAGUGCAAGAAAGCUAGAGAAUGGUUCAAGAACUAUGUGGACCCGAGACUGGAGAGUAUGACAUGGGAAGAGUUCGCCAACGAAUUUGCUGGAUGGGCUUUUCCUGACAGUUCUAGGGAACUCAAGGUUGUGGAGUUUGAGCAGUUGCGACAGACGGAGGAGAUGAGCGUUGAUGACUAUACAGAUAAGUUCCUG